Molecule: long non-coding RNA, 1176 nt
Filed under: Cricetulus griseus (Chinese hamster)
Lineage: Eukaryota; Metazoa; Chordata; Mammalia; Rodentia; Cricetidae
Description: lncRNA (ENSCGRG00015040615.1)
Source: RNAcentral
CUCUGGGUGUGCUUUACGGACAAGUGCACAGCAAUGAUGCACAGAGCAUAGCAACCACCCUGGGAGGGCCUAUGGACCAUAACAACCAGUUGGCCAAUCAACACAGGGCAAACCCUCCAAGCCUGGAGGCACACCAAUCCUGAGCCUGUGCAUACCUCUAGACACUCCCCUUAUGCUGCCCUAUAAGAUCUCUAUGCAGUGGCUUCGAAGCGUCUUUUCUAGCCAUCCUUCAUGGUGGAUGAAUGAAAGGCCCGAGCUAACAUGGGGUUAGCUCGUUAAACAAUUGCAAUAAAGCCUCGUGCUUUUUGCAUCAAGUUUCUGCCUCUGCAUGGUGAUUGGGGUGGCCGCGGUCAUGGGCUGAGAUCCUGGGGGCCUGAGCCUCUGGAGGUCUUUCAUUUGGGGGCUCGUCCUAGAUUUGAGACCACCCGUCACCUGAGUGGAGUCGAUCUUGGAGAUGACAUUUCAGAAUGGCUGUCCUCAAGAAGUGUGAUGACCAGUGUUGGAGCAGAUUUGGAGAAGGGGAACCUUAUUCAUUGCUGGUGAAGGUGUGCAUUAAUAUCGUCAAUGAAGUCAAUUUGGAGGCCCUUAAAACAAUUCAAAGUAGAGCUGCCAUAUGACCCAGUUAUGCCACUCCUGGGAAUGUACCCAGAGAAUUCCGUAUCCUACCACAGAGGAGUUAAUGUUCCGUUCAGGGUGGCACGGCAAACAGUGUCCUUUUAAUGAGACCCACACUGUCCCGAGGGAAAACAGAGCACAGCACAGCACACCCUGAAGCCCGUCUACCCUUUUCGCGGCCCUGGGCAUCAAGCUCAAAUCCCCCCUCCCGUCUGGAUCCUACAGCCAAUAAGCAAGCCCCAUUCUCUGAGCACCAGGCACCCCAGCCCAAACUCCUGCCACAUUUAGCCACUUAAAGUGACCCUGCAUUCCACGGACAGCUCAGAAGAGAAAAGGCCGUUAUCCCGUGUCUCAUAAUUGGUGCUCCUGGAAGGAAAACUUGGAAAUGGAGGAAAUGCUUAUCUACGGGGAUGUAAAUUGUACUUCAUUAAGAAAGAUUCGGGAAAGUGAAUUCCAGGCCAUCAACACUGUGCACCAGGGAUAGGGUGGGGACAAGGUGAUCAGCAACAACAUGGGUAGCUGGAGCGGUCAUCUAAUUAUUCUUUAUCAAUAAAAACCCGG